UCCUACGGGAGGCAGCAGUCGGGAAUUUUGCGCAAUGGACGAAAGUCUGACGCAGCAACGCCGCGUGAGGGAUGACGGCCUUCGGGUUGUAAACCUCUUUUGUCAGGGACGAUGAUGACGGUACCUGGCGAAUAAGCCACGGCUAACUACGUGCCAGCAGCCGCGGUAAUACGUAGGUGGCAAGCGUUGUCCGGAUUUACUGGGCGUAAAGAGCGCGC
Molecule: ribosomal RNA, 218 nt
Filed under: uncultured bacterium
Lineage: Bacteria
Description: partial 16S ribosomal RNA
Rfam family: Bacterial small subunit ribosomal RNA
Source: RNAcentral